Molecule: ribosomal RNA, 490 nt
Filed under: uncultured bacterium
Lineage: Bacteria
Description: partial 16S ribosomal RNA
Rfam family: Bacterial small subunit ribosomal RNA
Source: RNAcentral
AUUGAACGCUGGCGGCAGGCCUAACACAUGCAAGUCGAACGGUAACAGGAAGCAGCUUGCUGCUUCGCUGACGAGUGGCGGACGGGUGAGUAAUGUCUGGGAAGCUGCCUGAUGGAGGGGGAUAACUACUGGAAACGGUAGCUAAUACCGCAUAAUGUCGCAAGACCAAAGAGGGGGACCUUCGGGCCUCUUGCCAUCGGAUGUGCCCAGAUGGGAUUAGCUUGUUGGUGGGGUAACGGCUCACCAAGGCGACGAUCCCUAGCUGGUCUGAGAGGAUGACCAGCCACACUGGAACUGAGACACGGUCCAGACUCCUACGGGAGGCAGCAGUGGGGAAUGUUGCACAAUGGGCGCAAGCCUGAUGCAGCCAUGCCGCGUGUAUGAAGAAGGCCUUCGGGUUGUAAAGUACUUUCAGCGGGGAGGAAGGGAGUAAAGUUAAUACCUUUGCUCAUUGACGUUACCCGCAGAAGAAGCACCGGCUAACUCCGUG